This 1469-nucleotide ribosomal RNA is filed under the name metagenome. RNAcentral describes it as "bacterial SSU rRNA". It matches the Rfam family "Bacterial small subunit ribosomal RNA". The record is from RNAcentral.
AGAGUUUGAUCCUGGCUCAGAAUUAACGCUGGCAGAGUGCAUAACACAUGCAAGUCGAGCGAGACCCGCAAGGGUCUAGCGGCAGACGAGUGAGUAACACGUAAAGAAUCUACCCUUGAAUGGUGGACAACCAGCCGAAAGGCCGGCUAAUACACCGUACUCUCCCCGGAAGGCAUCUUCUGGGGAGGAGAGAUUCGCAAGAAUCGUUCUUGGAGGACUUUGCGGCCCAUCAGCUAGUUGGCGGUGUAAUAGACCACCAAGGCUACGACGGGUACCCGGCCUGAAAGGGCGGACGGGCACGAUGGCACUGAGACACGGGCCAUACUCCUACGGGAGGCAGCAGUGGGGAAUUUUGGACAAUGGGCGAAAGCCUGAUCCAGCAACUCUGCGUGAGGGACGAAGGCCUUCGGGUCGUAAACCUCUUUUAUGUGGGAAGAAUACCAGCAAUGGUUCGACGGUACCACGUGAAUAAGCCACGGCUAACUAUGUGCCAGCAGCCGCGGUAAGACAUAGGUGGCAAGCGUUAUUCGGAAUUACUAGGUGUAAAGCGAGUGUAGGCGGACGAUUAAGUCCGAUGUUAAAUCUCCAGGCUUAACUUGGAGUCGCAUCGGAUACUGGUCGCCUCGAGUGGGGUAGGGGGCAGCGGAAUUCCCGGUGUAGCGGCGAAAUGCGUAGAUAUCGGGAGGAACACCUAUGGCGAAAGCAGCUGCCUGGGCCUUUACUGACGCUAAGACUCGAAAGCUGGGGGAGCAAACAGGAUUAGAUACCCUGGUAGUCCCAGCUGUAAACGAUGGUAACUAGAUGUGGGAGGUAUCGACCCCUUCCGUGUCGUCGCUAACGCUUUAAGUUACCCACCUGGGGAGUACGGCCGCAAGGUUAAAACUCAAAGGAAUUGACGGGGGCCCGCACAAGCGGCGGAGCAUGUUGCUUAAUUCGACGCAACGCGAAGAACCUUACCAAGGUUUGACAUCACCCGGAAACGCUCAGAGAUGGGCGCCUCUUCGGACUGGGUGACAGGUGGUGCAUGGCUGUCGUCAGCUCGUGUCGUGAGAUGUUGGGUUAAGUCCCGCAACGAGCGCAACCCUUGUUCCAUGUUGCCAGCACGCUCCUUCGGGGGUGGUGGGGACUCAUGGGAGACUGCCGGGGUCAACUCGGAGGAAGGUGGGGAUGACGUCAAGUCAUCAUGCCCCUUAUGUCUUGGGCUGCAAACAUGCUACAAUGGCCGGUACAGAGGGCUGCUAAACCGUGAGGUGGAGCGAAUCCCUAAAAGCCGGUCUCAGUUCGGAUUGGGGUCUGCAACUCGACCCCAUGAAGUCGGAGUCGCUAGUAAUCGCAGAUCAGCAACGCUGCGGUGAAUACGUUCCCGGGCCUUGUACACACCGCCCGUCACGUCACGAAAGUCGGCAACACCCGAAGCCCGUGGCCCAACCACCUUGUGUGGGGGGAGCGGUCGAAGGUGGGGCUGGCGA